This is a long non-coding RNA of Sarcophilus harrisii (Tasmanian devil), 1851 nucleotides long. RefSeq lists it as uncharacterized. The transcript has 5 exons. Lineage: Eukaryota; Metazoa; Chordata; Mammalia; Dasyuromorphia; Dasyuridae. The record is from RefSeq and is a predicted model, not a curated record.
UGGUGAAUUAGUAAUAGGGGUUUUAAAAAAACACCCUUUGCACCUCUUUAACUCUUUUCAUCCAGGAUCUCUAAGCACUCUAUAAACUUUAAUGAAGUAAAGUUCAGCAUAUUGGUGGUUACACCGAGAGGCUGCCAAUUUUGCUUUCCAUCUGGCAUUCAGAUGACAUCUAGUGCUUAACUAGUAAGUUUCCAUUGGUGGGUAAGAAAAAUGAAGUACCAAGUUCCCUACUUUUCUCCUAGGUUAUCUUUAGGUUUAUGCAUUUUCUAAGUUGUAUUAUUAUUUUUUAGUCAAGACCUCUCACCUAAACCUAGCAUUUUAAUUCUCUGCCACCCACCUCAAUAUUUAAGAUUGGGUGAUCCAACAUCUUUGUGUGUUAGCUCAUUCCCAGAGUCUUUCUCUCCCUUCAGAAACCUGAAGAGAGGCUGGAAUCAUUUGACUGCUUUCUCAGAUGUGGAUGUCUGAAAACCAAGAUCUCUAAGUUCUUGUUAAUUCUAUCCCUCACGUGGACUCAGAGUAUUGAAUACUUAAGCUCCACCAAGGAAGAGAGUUUCAUGCAAGUGAGCUAUCACUUUGAGAAGUUUUAAUUUAUGAUCCUGUGAUGAAUAUGGGACCGGUGCAAAACCUCACUAAUCAGAAAACAAACUCACAAAGGAUAAUGACUUACCAGAACAUUGUAAGAUCAUAGAGCUGGCAGAUAUCUCUGAGGUCAGAGGGCACAACCCCUACUUGACACACGAAAGAAUUGAGAACAGAGAGGAAGCCUCUAAAAAUGAUUCUUGAAAAUCAUGUUCAAAGAUGUCAACAGCCUGGUCAACUCUGAGAUGUACUCCAGGAUAGAAUGUAGAUCCAGAAGUAAUGAGUAGAACUGCAAAAAUGCUAUCUUCCCGUUGUGUUGUAUCUCUGAUUAGUUUCCUAUAUAUUCCAUCUGGAUCUCUCACUCCUGCCCAAGGCAGAGCUUAUUGGUGAAAGUUCUGUAUGACCUUUGGUGGUACUGGCAUAAUUCCAGCAAGAUUACUAUUGCUUCUUAAAAGGAAUGCUAACAUUCUACCAGUGUGACUAUAUCACAUCAAGAUAUGGAACAUAACUUCUUCAGAAGAACUAAAAAUUAACAUCAUAUAGAAGUCAAUAGAGAACUGCAUGAUGGACGUGAGCAGGCUGCAAUGUAUAACCAAUGAAGAACAAUGAAGAGUAUUCUAGGAAUAGACUAUGAACACUUCCCAUGUGGCAAAAAACGCGGGAUAACAGGUGAAGUACUUUAUUGAUGUCCUGACAAGAGAAAAUGAGGAAGGCCUCUAGGACAUUGGAAAGACUCUGUAUGGCACAUUUUUGAGAGGAUAUAAUCAACAAUACAGGAGACAACAAAAAAGGAGAGCAGGCAUGAAUGGGUUUGACCUCAAAUUGAUGAGGUCAUAGAUUCAUUUGAGUUGUGAGAUGGGUCAGUGGUAACUCUGCAGCAUCAAUAAGGCAACUAUGUCCGGAGCCAUCUUCUGGGAGUAAUAUGGAACUAGAGCAUGAGACAAUAUAGUUUUUAUUGUUUGUGUUUUUGUGGUUCUGAGAACCUCUUUCAACAACAAAAAAUAUUGUGAACCCCCAGAAGAGUUGAAUAUACUCAUUAUAUUCUUUUAUGUUCAUUGUUUGCAAUAACCACAAUGAUUUUCUUGUUUCCAAAAACUGCAAAUUAUACAUCAUGUAAUUAUAAUUAUAAAAUGUAAAAUCUAUCUUACCUGUAAUCAUGGAACUAAAAAAUAUAAUUCUAUACUCUAAUUAUAAAAUAAAUAUGACUAUUUUAUGAGAUUCUGUAAGAAUUUAAAAAAGCAACCCAGCAAGACCUCAUAUCCUUAUUAUUAU